Molecule: ribosomal RNA, 497 nt
Filed under: uncultured bacterium
Lineage: Bacteria
Description: partial 16S ribosomal RNA
Rfam family: Bacterial small subunit ribosomal RNA
Source: RNAcentral
GAUGAACGCUGGCGGCGUGCCUAAUACAUGCAAGUAGAACGCUGAAGCUUGGUGCUUGCACCGAGCGGAUGUGUCGCACACGGGUGUGUAACGCGUAUGUCACCUGCCUCAUAGCGGGGGAACAAUUGUGAACAAGAUAGCUAAUACCACAUAAGAAGCGAUAUCGCAUGAUAUUGAUUUGAAAUGUACAAAUGCCUCAACAAGAUAUGGCCCUGCGUUGUAUUAGCUAGUUGGUGAGGUAACGGCUCACCAAGGCGACGAUACAUAGCCGACCUGAGAGGGUGAUCGGCCACACUGGGACUGAGACACGGCCCAGACUCCUACGGGAGGCAGCAGUAGGGAAUCUUCGGCAAUGGGCGGAAGCCUGACCGAGCAACGCCGCGUGAGUGAAGAAGGGUUUCGGAUCGUAAAGCUCUGUUGUAAGAGAAGAACGAGUGUGAGAGUGGAAAGUUCACACUGUGACGGUAACUUACCAGAAAGGGACGGCUAACUACGUG